GGUUAAAAACAUGUUUUUAGGAGAGCUUUAAUUUACUUUUCCGCUAGUUGCUGAGUGUGGUAUCAAUAGUCUUGGCUGAGGUUUUAAAAUCUCUGCAUUAGCAAUCCCAAGAAAAUGAUGCAGCUUGGUAUAUUAAUUAUGAUAUCUUACUUUGUUCACUUUACAGCUAGCAGUGGGCCAGAACUUUCAGUUGUGCAAUACCCUGAAGAUGCCAGUGUGCUUCUGAACUCAACGGUGUGGAUGCUCUGUGUAUUUGAGUACCCAGAGGAGGAGAACGAGGAGCCUGUCGUGUACUGGAGGAAGGGCCCUGACUAUAAUAAUCUGCAGAGUCUUCAGUCGAGCGCAGGAACUGCUAGGCCACACAUACGCAUUACAAAGAACAUACUCAAGGGAUUCUCCGUCUUGAAACUGAGCAAUGUUGAUCACAGUGCCAGUAGUUCAUAUUUCUGUGAUGUGACACUAACUCAGAACGUCCGGAGCAAACGUGGAAGUGGCACCAACCUGACUGUACACGACUUUAAAUGCAAAGACUGUAUAAGAUCAGACAAGACCUGGUGGGGUUGGUUUCUUCUUCUUGGAUACACCAUCUUUGUCACCACAGUUAUCAUAGCUUUCAGUAUUCAUCAGGGCUGUAAAAAGUGCAAGAACAGGUCAAGAAACACAGACAGCAGCGCUACCUUGCCAAGUGACUGGAUUUACGACAAGCCAUCCAGACCAGUUAACAAUGGGUUUAAUCAAGAAUAUGAAGACAUGUCGCUAAUAAGGACUUUCACUGACAUUGGAAGGAAGGUGAUAUGAAAAAGAAAUUGAAUGCUCCCAGAGCACCAUGUUUUCUGCUGUGAAUUAAAGAUCAGUCUUCCCCUCCUAUAAAGCCUAAUGAUUGUGUGAUAUUCUAUAACAUUAAACUUAUUGUCAGCUUAGCAAAGCUUUCUGUAGAACUUUUCCAGGUUAUUAUACAUUUAUAUUAUCUUUAAGCAUUCUAUGAAUAAAGAUGCCAAUAAAAACCA
Molecule: long non-coding RNA, 1007 nt
Organism: Apteryx owenii (little spotted kiwi)
Lineage: Eukaryota; Metazoa; Chordata; Aves; Apterygiformes; Apterygidae
Source: Ensembl